Hylaeus anthracinus is the source of this 2909-nucleotide long non-coding RNA. RefSeq lists it as uncharacterized. NCBI's taxonomy places the organism in Eukaryota, Metazoa, Arthropoda, Insecta, Hymenoptera, Colletidae. The transcript is spliced from 3 exons. The record is from RefSeq and is a predicted model, not a curated record.
AUGAACACGUGAUAUUAAUAGUAGUCCUAAACACUGGGUAAAUGUUUACUUUCCUUCCAAUUUAGCAUAGAUCUCAGUGUUUACUUCACAUAUUAAAAAUUGCAUAGUCGUCUACGAAUCAAACAACAAAAUACCUUCGUACGCGUUUAUAAUCAUGUUCGUAAUAAAUCACGACAAAUAGUCAAUCAUUUGACUAUCAAACAUGUUAAUAUCAACAGUAGCCCUAAACACUGGAUAAAUGUUUACUUUCCUUCCAAUUUACCAUAGAUCUCAGUGUUCUCAUCACAAAUCUCAAAAUCGCUACAACAAUCUUCAACAAUCAAACAACAAAAUACCUUCCUACACGUUUACAAUCAUGUUUCUAAUAAAUCACGAUAAAUAUUCAAUCAUUUGGCUACGAAACACAUUAAUAUCAAUAAUCGCUAUUUCUUAAACAUUUUUCCUUUCACUAGAUCCUUCCCAUAGGUCCCCGCAUCCUCUUUGACCUAUCUCAAAAUCGUACUCGACUAAGGAUUCAAUCAACAAAAGACCUCCAUACGACCGCCACCUGAUAACUCCUCGCCUAUUCCAUCAACCGUCCAACCUCUAAACGAAACAAAACGAAAGAAAAUCCCAUAGAAAACUAUCCAUACACAUACUAAAAUCUGAACCGCACGUCCUCCCGGUGCAUCACUCGAGUAACCUUCCUCUCCCCCCGCAAAGGCAACAUACUCCAGUUCCCGUCGCGGAUGGGUCCGUCGAGGUCCGCCUUCCACGUCGGGCCCCGAAAGAAAAUAUUAUCUUUGCGGCCCGUUGCGAAGAAAUCACCCACAAAGAACUCCGCGGCGACAGGUUACUCUGACACCGUCCGCUCGGUUCGAGGUCCUCUUCGGUGUAUCCUACUCCUUGGUCCUGGAUCGGAUCCAGUGGAUCCUACCACCGCGCCGCGGCGACCACCACCUCCACGACCCGGUCCGUCCACCACCACCACCAGGGGGACCUUUGUCCACCACCACUCGGGUUCGGCUACCACCUCCUCGUGCGGAACCAGCGCGGGGCACCUCGCCAUGUGACUGAUUCCCCUACUCCGCAGGUUGACGAGCGGUAGGCCUGCCUACCUGCCGCCCGUUGCCCCGCUCCCAUUACGACGCGGACUCUCGCGGCAGGUGCACCAACCUAAGUGCCACUCCGCUUACCUGUGUGUCGUGCCUACCGUAGCCAAGUGUGUCCGGUGGUCAGGUUCUUCCCUCUCUCUCUUUCUUUCUUUCUUCUGCUGUCUCUCUCACUUUUCCCUUCUUUUUUCCUCCUCCUCCUCCCUCUCCACCUCCCCCCUUUUCUCUGUCUCGUCUUCUCAACCCCCUACCCCGGGCUACGUCCUUCUCCCUCUGUCUACGUCUGUCCCCCUCGACGACGCCUCACGCAGCAGUGCCGUGUUGUAGUGUCGUGUCAUCUUGCGCUACGUCAACGAUCCUCCCGAGUCCGUUGCGGAGGCAACGAUCGAUCGCGUUAUCCUCAACCGAUUCCGUUUACGGCCCCCAUCGCCUGGUGACCCGGUCUCUGCGGACGUCUACGGGCCCCGAACCGUCGUUUCGCUCUCGAUAAACAGACGUUUCCUAACAAGUUAGGUCUAGAACGUGUAAACAAUCCACUCGGUCACACGGGCCCUUCCAGGUAUCGGCCCUGACAGUGUUUACAGUUUGUCCAGGCGUCGAUCGUCGAUCGUUCGCAGCCGAGGGAUCGUUUCGCGAGUGUCAGUGAUAUCGACGAUAGUUAGUGCACAGUUCGGCCCCGGAGAAGGAAAACUGGUUCCCUCUCGGACCCGGGGGCCGCGGGAGGAAGGGGACAGUGAAGGUGUCAAACGUCCGCGACUCCUCAUUGACAUUUCCGUGACAUUUAGUGCGCGAUUCGAGCCGAGCGCGAAACACCUUUUCGUGUAACACGCGUGAGAGAUCGUCCGUGCCCCGGAGAAAGUGACGAGGGGUCUGGGAACCGAGUCGAUGACGGUUCCGCCGUGUCUUAUCACCGCCGCAGACGGCUUAUCUACGGUUAUCUGUCUCUCGGAAUCAUCUGUCUCUCACUCAUGCACGUGCACCUAACGCGAUAAAAGGGGCUCGGCAACCUCUGCACUCGCGGACGGACGAUUGCUGAGCGGAUCACGGGACGGGAGGCAUGGUCCUCGACGGACGUCCUCUGACGUUCAACAGGUGGUCGUUCGCCAGGUGACGGACGCAGGUACCAGUCGAGCGCGUGGCGCUGGAAGAUCGUACGCGAGGAGACCGCGCCAGGCAGACGCCUGCUCGAAGGGAACGUCGAUCGGAGGUCGUUUCUCACGACGGAAGUUCGCAUCAGAGAUCAAACUGGACAUACUUACCGCAACGUCGGGACGUACGGAGUGGAGAUGUCCGCGGGUCGCUGAGAGAAUGAGGGAGCUGGACACCGAGAGCCCUGUUGUCUGGCCGGCCUGGUGUUAUACUGGUAAGCAGAAUUCAGUAAAUCGUACCAAUCGUUCUUCACGGAUGUGAAUUGGUUGCGAAGGUGUUGGAGUGGUCGGACGUCUCGUGGGAGUAACGUCGAAGGAGAGUUUAUGAGACCCGAAGAAAUUCUCACACUUUGUUGUGAUUGAUCGCGUGGAAAUCGCGGAAGAAUCGGCGCCUCCGCUAACCUGGACCGCCUAAAGACACGUAGGACGAAAGAUUUAUGAAAGCCUCGACCUUUCGCGUCGAAGCUGCCUCGAGACUGUUAGAUUUUCGAUGAUUUUAGACUUUUGGAUUUGUUCAACUUAGAUUUCCAGGACAGUUUCUUUCGAAAUCAACUAACUACAUAGGUUAAGAUUUAAGCAGAAGUCUCCUAAAAUAUUUAGAAUGUAUAGAUUAACAUGUAUUUGAUACAGAGGGAGCAGGUUUAAGAUAUUAAAAUGUUUUGUAAUUAGU